GACGAACGCUGGCGGCGUGCUUAACACAUGCAAGUCGUACGGUAAGGCCCUUUCGGGGGUACACGAGUGGCGAACGGGUGAGUAACACGUGAGUAACCUGCCCACAACUUUGGGAUAACGCUAGGAAACUGGUGCUAAUACUGGAUAUGUGCUACUGCUGCAUGGUGGGGGUUGGAAAGCUCCGGCGGUUGUGGAUGGACUCGCGGCCUAUCAGCUUGUUGGUGGGGUAGUGGCCUACCAAGGCGGCGACGGGUAGCCGGCCUGAGAGGGUGACCGGCCACAGUGGGACUGAGAUACGGCCCAGACUCCUACGGGAGGCAGCAGUGGGGAAUAUUGCACAAUGGGCGCAAGCCUGAUGCAGCAACGCCGCGUGCGGGAUGACGGCCUUCGGGUUGUAAACCGCUUUCAGCAGAGACGAAGCUUUUUGUGACGGUACCUGCAGAAGAAGCACCGGCUAACUACGUG
Molecule: ribosomal RNA, 465 nt
Filed under: uncultured bacterium
Lineage: Bacteria
Description: partial 16S ribosomal RNA
Rfam family: Bacterial small subunit ribosomal RNA
Source: RNAcentral